This 1105-nucleotide long non-coding RNA is filed under the name Citrus maxima (pomelo). RNAcentral's name for it is "long non-coding RNA (CMAX_LNC001676)". Lineage: Eukaryota; Viridiplantae; Streptophyta; Magnoliopsida; Sapindales; Rutaceae. The record is from RNAcentral.
AGCAGAGAUUAAAAUGCUCAGGAAGAGUUUAAACUUUAAAGCGACUCCAAUGCCGACCUUCUAUCAAGAGCCUCCACCUCCUAAGGUGGAACUAAAGAAAGUAAGUUGAUUUUUCUGUCACAAUUUCCAUCAAAUAAAAAAUUAUUUUCUUCCCUGCAAAUUGGCUCAUAUGUCAAAGACUUUCCACCCUCAGGUACUUUGAUAUCUUCAAGUUGAGAUCUCUUCACAUGCUGAUGAACUCUGUGUGCUUCAACUAUCUCUAAUUGUUUUCAACCUCAUAAAUGAAGUUUACUUAGGUUCAUUCAUUUGGUUUAAUUUUCAAUUUGUAGUUACAUUUUUAUGGGUCCUUGAUUGUUUGUAUCUAGUAAUUGCAGUGCAAAUGAGUUAAUUGUUAUUGCUUUUUCCUUCCAGUUAUCCUUUUGACUUUUUUAGUCUGCAAGGCAGCAUUGAUCUGUUACUGAACUGGUAAUGUGGUAGUGUAUCCAAUAAGAUUACACAACCGUGAUGCUUUUUCCUUAAUCUAUAUUAUUUUGGUGUAGAUUCCCACAACAAGAGCCAAAUCUCCUAAGCUUGGUAGAAGGAAGAGCUCUACUCCUGCAGACUCUGUAGAAGACAGUACCAGCUGUCGACCAGGUAGGCUGAGUCUGGACGCAAAAGGUCCUCCGAGUAACUCUGCCAGAGGAAUUUCUCCUGUUCACCCAAAGAAACCACAGCGGAAGUCCCUUCCUAAACUGCCUUCUGAAAAGGCUACCAUAUUGAAUUCCAUGAAGGAGGAAAAGAUCACCUUUUCGAAAGCAGCUAAUGAGGAAAAUACCACUUCAUCAAAAGCACCUAAUGAGGAAAAUACCACCUCAUCGAAUGCAACAAAGGAAGUUGCAUCUCCUACAGAAGAGCAGGAGCAGAUUCCUACAGCUGAGCCAGAAGAAACCCAGUUUCAUAAGGAUGAGGGACUGGUGGCUGAAGAGCAAGCUCAGCCUACCCUUGUACAAGAACCCAUAGCGUUGGAGAAUUAAGUUAAGAAGCAGUUGGAAUUUUGGAAUUGGAUGCUUAUACAAAGCUGUCGGCUUCUUUCUUCGUAAAUAAGAAAGGUUUGAGACAGAAAUUA